UGGGGAAUUUUGGACAAUGGGCGCAAGCCUGAUCCAGCAAUGCCGCGUGCAGGAUGAAGGCCUUCGGGUUGUAAACUGCUUUUGUACGGAACGACAAGCCCUGGGUUAAUACCCUGGGGUCAUGACGGUACCGUAAGAAUAAGCACCGGCUAACUACGUGCCAGCAGCCGCGGUAAUACGUAGGGUGCGAGCGUUAAUCGGAAUUACUGGGCGUAAAGCGUGCGCAGGCGGUUUUGUAAGACAGAGGUGAAAUCCCCGGGCUCAACCUGGGAACUGCCUUUGUGACUGCAAGGCUAGAGUACGGCAGAGGGGGAUGGAAUUCCGCGUGUAGCAGUGAAAUGCGUAGAUAUGCGGAGGAACACCGAUGGCGAAGGCAAUCCCCUGGGCCUGUACUGACGCUCAUGCACGAAAGCGUGGGGAGCAAACAG
RNAcentral lists this ribosomal RNA (428 nucleotides) under uncultured bacterium. Its description in RNAcentral is "bacterial SSU rRNA". It matches the Rfam family "Bacterial small subunit ribosomal RNA", at positions 355 to 775 of the family's 1533-position model. The record is from RNAcentral.